GAUCAGAAAUGGGACCCUGAAAACGAGCACUACAAGCCUAUAUCUAUAUAAGAUGCACAUGUUAGGUUGAUCUCUCUCCCGUUCGAACCCAACGGGUCGAACGGGCCCCUGACUCGCGCCCUGAUCGGGGGCGCCCAACCAAAUCAUGGUUGGUGGGCCCCUGUGACCCAUGCUAUAUAAACAGAGGUGGGGGUCGGGGCACGACUUACGAGGUUAAUCGCUGCCACAAUCCCCACCGACACUCCCUUUCGAUCUAGGGUUAGCGCGGCGCUCACGGGAAGCUCCAUCACCGCCGCCAUCUCUCUGCCAUCACCGGCCCCUACUUCACCAUGGCCGGCGCUGGAUCGAGUUCGUCUGCACCAGCAGAAGGAGGCUUUCACUUGAUGAGUUGCCUAAAAGAAGUUCUGACACUCAGAGGUGACAACCACACUGAGUGGAGGAAGAAAGUUGAACUGGCAUUUGUUUGUGCUGAUCUUGACUGAGUUGUGGAGAAACCACAGCCGGUCAGACCCACAGAGCCAGUAGGAGAGGCCACUGAUGAUGAUGAUGCAUGGGCUAAAAAGAAGAGGGACUAUGCUCCUUUGGAGCAGUCCUACCUCAUAGAUAACCAAAAGUGGGUCAAUGCAAACAAAAAAUGCAUGGCUUUUAUAAAGAAUACAAUUGAGAGCGCCAUUGUGGGCUCCAUUGCAGAGUGCACUUCCGCAAGGGAGUUGCUUACAAAGAUAAAGAGCCAGUUCACUGGCUCUUCAAAGAUAUAUGCCACCCAAGUGUUAGAGCAACUGGUGACACAGCACUACACGGGUGGUAGUCAUGGAAUAAGAGAGCACAUCCUGAGGAUGAGCAAUAUGGCAGCAAAGCUAAAGCCCAUGGAUGAGGAUCUGGAGAUCAAACCAACGCUCCUGGUCCACCUGGUCAUGGCUUCACUGCCAAAGGAGUUUGAAACUUUUGUUGUAAACUAUAAUAUGACCCCUGGAACAUAUGGGACAUUGAAAAGACAAUAGAAAUGUGUGUCCAAGAAGAGGAAAGACUCAAAGCCACACAUCGUGGUUCACUCAACUAUGUGAAGGAUUACAAGAAAAAGGACUACAGUCAAAACAACAAAAGUUCUCCUUCAAAGCAUGGAAAAGUCCCCCAUCAGCAUCAGCAUCAGUAACAGCCUUUCUCAAUGGACAAAGACACUUGUCUCCACUGCAAGCAGAAAGGGCAUUACAAGAAAGACUGCGCUGCUUGGCUGAAGUCAGACAUGGCAAAAAGAGGUAUUCCAUUCGACGUGAACUACGCUAAGAAGCGAAAGACGCAUUGAAGUGGCAAACGGAGUUGAAGCAGAAGUUGAAG
Molecule: long non-coding RNA, 1335 nt
Organism: Triticum dicoccoides
Lineage: Eukaryota; Viridiplantae; Streptophyta; Magnoliopsida; Poales; Poaceae
Exons: 3
Source: RefSeq, a predicted model, not a curated record